GCAAGUCGAACGAGAAUUUUCCUUUCGGGGAAAUAGUAAAGUGGCGCAAGGGUGGGUAACCCGUGAAUAAUCUGCCUACGAAUUUUGGAUUACGCUGGGAAACCUGUGCUAAUACCAGAUAAGACCACGUCUCUUAUGUGAUGUGGCCAAAGGAGCCUCAAGCUCCGUUUGGAGAUGAGUUCGCGGACCAUUAGCUUGUUGGAGGGAUAACAGCCCCCCAAGGCGACGAUGGUUAGCCGGCCUGAGAGGGUGAUC
This 255-nucleotide ribosomal RNA is filed under the name uncultured bacterium. RNAcentral describes it as "partial 16S ribosomal RNA". It matches the Rfam family "Bacterial small subunit ribosomal RNA", at positions 57 to 305 of the family's 1533-position model. The record is from RNAcentral.